This is a non-coding RNA of Drosophila melanogaster (fruit fly), 1315 nucleotides long. The record is from Ensembl. Lineage: Eukaryota; Metazoa; Arthropoda; Insecta; Diptera; Drosophilidae.
CUUCAGACGGUUAACAGUUUUCCAAUUCCCGCUGCACGAUGCAUCUCAUUGCUGGCCAAGAGCGAUGCGAUGGGUUGCGAUGCCAAGCAGAUGGAGAUGCAGAUGCAGAUACAUUUGGAUGCGAUGCAAACGGGGGCGGAGCGGAAAAGCGACACACAGAAGCCCAAGGAUGCGAAGCGUGUCCACCAGUGGGCAUCCGCCAUGUUAAGCAGCUGGGUAUGCACCGGUCAUGCUAUCUGCUAAAAUAUGUCAGCUAACUUAUCUUGUGGUCUUAAGGACUGUAUAUUGUUGCACCCGAAUGAAGGGGCAUCUCUAAUGUUACUCCAUCUUGCACCAAUGUUUGCCCUGCGUGUCCCAGAGCUGUUGCAUUGGGUUUGGGAACUGGUGCUGCUGUUGCUUCCACUUCAGUUUCGGUUGCCGGUUAAUUGUAUGCGACUGCUGCAACUCACGGCUGCCAACAUGCGGCAAUUGACAUUGAUCAGAGCUGACCUUAACGGAGUGGGGGGCCAGACAACCGCCCACGGCGCCCACUCCACCCACCGGUCACUUAAUGCGCUUAAAACGAGACACAAUGAGAGUGACAGGAGGUUCGAGCUCGGGCAAUGGGGAAUCCCCUCAUCAUUAUGCAGAUGGAUACACGGAAUGUUCCCUAGAGGCAUGCAAAUGGAAUGCGAAAAGUGCGCCUACGACAAGAGUCUAGUGGGUGGAAGGGUGGCAUGGUAAUGAGUAGUUUCCCCCCAACUUUCUUCCCGCUUCCAUGUGGCCGGGAGUAAUUGCGGAAAAUGAAUUAAAGGCAAUUUGCGGUGGGACACGAGGAUGGGGUGAAGGAUCCUGCAAUGGGAAGAUGAACAACGAAUGGCAACAAAAUGCCAAGUGAAAGCAAACAACGUAAGCUGUUGCUGCAUAGGCGAAGGACGAGGCCAGGAGUCCUGAGUCCUGAGACCUGAUGGAGCAAUGUUGCAGGAAGCUGGCAAGCAGCAACACCACCAGCAACAGCAGCAACAUCGCCCGGAAACAGGAUGAGAUCCAAGGAGCAGCAGCAACAGCAAUGGCAAAAGCAACGCUAGCAAUCGUAACAUGCAAAUGGGAAAGGCACACACGUGUGUGUUGUGCUGUGUUGAAAUUGCAUUUAAAAAGCUAAAAGAAAAGCGGAUGCAACAAUUUGCCAUUGUGAAACUGUCAGGGGAGGUGUGAGUUAAGAGGAAGUCGCUCCAACCGCCUGAUUUUCCACCUGCUAUACCUUUUCGCCGCCUGUCUGCGUCUGUCUUCAUGACUUUCCCCAGGCAAUUUGAGCGAAUUUCGAAGUCACUCGAGG